CUGUUCUUGCUGCUUUCUGUUACAGAUGUGAAGAUGGAGGAGGGAGCAGGGCCAUACAACCAGGCAUCUGUGGAAGGAUAUCCUGGCAUUGCCAUGAAACCAGAAGAGAAAGAGGAAAUGAAUAACCAGGGAACCAAGGAAAAAGAAAGCAUUGCUCGUGACCCAUCAGGAAUUCUUAACCUUUUCAUAAAACCAGAGGAGGCAGAAGAGUUUUACAACCAGGGACCCAAAGGAAAUACAAGCAUGGCUGGUCUUCA
Molecule: non-coding RNA, 257 nt
Organism: Pogona vitticeps (central bearded dragon)
Lineage: Eukaryota; Metazoa; Chordata; Lepidosauria; Squamata; Agamidae
Source: RefSeq, a predicted model, not a curated record